GAAAGUAUAGCUUAGCAGUAGAGUGUGCACUUAGCAUGCACAAGGUCCUGGGUUCAAUCCCCAGUACCUCCA
Camelus ferus (Wild Bactrian camel) is the source of this 72-nucleotide transfer RNA. It matches the Rfam family "tRNA". Rfam says of the family: Transfer RNA (tRNA) molecules are approximately 80 nucleotides in length. Their secondary structure includes four short double-helical elements and three loops (D, anti-codon, and T loops). Further hydrogen bonds mediate the characteristic L-shaped molecular structure. tRNAs have two regions of fundamental functional importance: the anti-codon, which is responsible for specific mRNA codon recognition, and the 3' end, to which the tRNAs corresponding amino acid is attached (by aminoacyl-tRNA synthetases). tRNAs cope with the degeneracy of the genetic code in two manners: having more than one tRNA (with a specific anti-codon) for a particular amino acid; and 'wobble' base-pairing, i.e. permitting non-standard base-pairing at the 3rd anti-codon position. The record is from Rfam. Lineage: Eukaryota; Metazoa; Chordata; Mammalia; Artiodactyla; Camelidae.